This 1482-nucleotide ribosomal RNA is filed under the name metagenome. Its description in RNAcentral is "bacterial SSU rRNA". It matches the Rfam family "Bacterial small subunit ribosomal RNA". The record is from RNAcentral.
AGAGUUUGAUCAUGGCUCAGGAUGAACGCUAGCUACAGGCUUAACACAUGCAAGUCGAGGGGAAACGAUAUUGGAAGCUUGCUUCCGCUAGGCGUCGACCGGCGCACGGGUGAGUAACGCGUAUCCAACCUGCCCACCACUUGGGGAUAACCUUGCGAAAGUAAGACUAAUACCCAAUGACGUCUCUAGAAGACAUCUGAAGGAGAUUAAAGAUUUAUCGGUGAUGGAUGGGGAUGCGUCUGAUUAGCUUGUUGGCGGGGUAACGGCCCACCAAGGCAACGAUCAGUAGGGGUUCUGAGAGGAAGGUCCCCCACAUUGGAACUGAGACACGGUCCAAACUCCUACGGGAGGCAGCAGUGGGGAAUAUUGCACAAUGGGCGAAAGCCUGAUGCAGCGACGCCGCGUGAGCGAAGAAGUAUUUCGGUAUGUAAAGCUCUAUCAGCAGGGAAGAUAAUGACGGUACCUGACUAAGAAGCACCGGCUAAAUACGUGCCAGCAGCCGCGGUAAUACGUUUGGUGCAAGCGUUAUCCGGAUUUACUGGGUGUAAAGGGAGCGCAGGCGGUGCGGCAAGUCUGAUGUGAAAGCCCGGGGCUCAACCCCGGUACUGCAUUGGAAACUGUCGUACUAGAGUGUCGGAGGGGUAAGCGGAAUUCCUAGUGUAGCGGUGAAAUGCGUAGAUAUUAGGAGGAACACCAGUGGCGAAGGCGGCUUACUGGACGAUAACUGACGCUGAGGCUCGAUAGCGUGGGGAGCAAACAGGAUUAGAUACCCUGGUAGUCCACGCCGUAAACGAUGAGUACUAGGUGUUGGGAAGCAUUGCUUCUCGGUGCCGUCGCAAACGCAGUAAGUAUUCCACCUGGGGAGUACGUUCGCAAGAAUGAAACUCAAAGGAAUUGACGGGGACCCGCACAAGCGGUGGAGCAUGUGGUUUAAUUCGAAGCAACGCGAAGAACCUUACCAAGUCUUGACAUCCUUCUGACCGGUACUUAACCGUAUCUUCUCUUCGGAGCAGGAGUGACAGGUGGUGCAUGGUUGUCGUCAGCUCGUGUCGUGAGAUGUUGGGUUAAGUCCCGCAACGAGCGCAACUCUUAUCUUUAGUAGCCAGCGGUUUGGCCGGGCACUCUAGAGAGACUGCCAGGGAUAACCUGGAGGAAGGCGGGGAUGACGUCAAAUCAUCAUGCCCCUUAUGACUUGGGCUACACACGUGCUACAAUGGCGUAAACAAAGGGAAGCAAAGCUGUGAAGCCGAGCAAAUCUCAAAGAUAACGUCUCAGUUCGGACUGUAGUCUGCAACCCGACUACACGAAGCUGGAAUCGCUAGUAAUCGCAGAUCAGAAUGCUGCGGUGAAUACGUUCCCGGGUCUUGUACACACCGCCCGUCACACCAUGGGAGUUGGGAAUGCCCGAAGCCAGUGACCUAACCGAAAGGAAGGAGCUGUCGAAGGCAGGCUCGAUAACUGGGGUGAAGUCGUAACAAAGUA